GGUUCCCUAGUCUAAAGGUUAGGACGCAGCCCUUUCAAGGCUGAGAUGCUCGGUUCGAGUCCGGCGGAGAUCA
RNAcentral lists this transfer RNA (73 nucleotides) under Eubacterium sp. AF34-35BH. RNAcentral's name for it is "tRNA-Glu". It matches the Rfam family "tRNA". Rfam says of the family: Transfer RNA (tRNA) molecules are approximately 80 nucleotides in length. The record is from RNAcentral. Lineage: Bacteria; Bacillati; Bacillota; Clostridia; Eubacteriales; Eubacteriaceae.